AAGUCGUAACAAGGUUUCCGUAGGUACGUAGUAUCUUCCUCGAUCCCUUGUUUUAUGUCACUUCUUUGACUCUUUGCUAACUCUUUUUUUAGGUGAACCUGCGGAAGGAUCAUUACUGAGUGAGGGUCCUUGUGGCCCAACCUCCCAACCCUGUGUCUACUUAACCACUGUUGCUUCGGCGGGCCCGUCUCCUCUGGAGACCGCCGGGGGACCGUCGAACGUCCUCUGGCCCGUGUCUGUCGAUAGCCCCCCAUUUAUAAACUCUGAACAAAUCGUGUCAUGUCUGAAUACAAAACAAAUAAAGCAAA
RNAcentral lists this unclassified non-coding RNA (308 nucleotides) under plant metagenome. Its description in RNAcentral is "partial contains small subunit ribosomal RNA and internal transcribed spacer 1". The record is from RNAcentral.